RNAcentral lists this ribosomal RNA (196 nucleotides) under uncultured bacterium. RNAcentral describes it as "partial 16S ribosomal RNA". It matches the Rfam family "Bacterial small subunit ribosomal RNA", at positions 337 to 525 of the family's 1533-position model. The record is from RNAcentral.
UCCUACGGGAGGCAGCAGUGGGGAAUAUUGGACAAUGGGCGAAAGCCUGAUCCAGCCAUGCCGCGUGUGUGAAGAAGGUCUUCGGAUUGUAAAGCACUUUAAGUUGGGAGGAAGGGUUGUAGAUUAAUACUCUGCAAUUUUGACGUUACCGACAGAAUAAGCACCGGCUAACUCUGUGCCAGCAGCCGCGGUAAUA